Molecule: ribosomal RNA, 492 nt
Filed under: uncultured bacterium
Lineage: Bacteria
Description: partial 16S ribosomal RNA
Rfam family: Bacterial small subunit ribosomal RNA
Source: RNAcentral
AGUGAACGCUGGCGGCAGGCCUAACACAUGCAAGUCGAACGGCCGCACAGUAAGCGCUUGCUCUUACGGGUGGCGAGUGGCGGACGGGUGAGGCAUACAUCGGAAUCUUCUUUUUCGUGGGUGAUAUCGGAGGGCCACUUACGCUAAUACCGCAUACUACCAACGGGUGAAAGCAGGAGUUCAUCGGACUUUGCCCGUCUUUAUGAGCCGAUGUCGCAUUACCUAGUUGGCGUGGUAAAGGCCCACCAAGGCGACGAUCCGUAGCUGGUCCGAGAGGAUGAUCGGCCACACUGGAACUGAGACACGGUCCAGACUCCUACGGGAGGCAGCAGUGGGGAAUAUUGGACAAUGGGCGCAAGCCUGAUCCAGCCAUGCCGCGUGGGUGAAGAAGGCCUUCGGGUUGUAAAGCCCUUUUGUUGGGGAAGAAAAGCAGCGGGAGAAUACGCCGCUGUUCUGACGGUACCCAAAGAGAAAGCACCGGCUAACUUCGUG